GAUGAACGCUAGCGACAGGCCUAACACAUGCAAGUCGAGGGGUAGCACAGAAUAGCUUGCUAUUUGGGUGACGACCGGCGCACGGGUGAGUAACGCGUAUGCAACCUGCCUAUAAGAGGGGGAUAGCCUUUCGAAAGAAAGAUUAAUACCGCAUAAUACUAUUUACCUGCAUGGGUAGAUAGUUAAACUAAUUGGCUUAUAGAUGGGCAUGCGUUCCAUUAGAUAGUUGGUGAGGUAACGGCUCACCAAGUCAGCGAUGGAUAGGGGUUCUGAGAGGAAGGUCCCCCACACUGGUACUGAGACACGGACCAGACUCCUACGGGAGGCAGCAGUGAGGAAUAUUGGUCAAUGGGCGAGAGCCUGAACCAGCCAAGUCGCGUGAAGGAUGAAGGUCUUAUGGAUUGUAAACUUCUUUUAUAAGGGAAUAAAAAAGAUCACGUGUGGUCUAUUGCAUGUACCUUAUGAAUAAGCAUCGGCUAACUCCGUGCCAGCAGCCGCGGUAAUACGGAGGAUGCGAGCGUUAUCCGGAUUUAUUGGGUUUAAAGGGUGCGUAGGCGGUUUAUUAAGUCAGUGGUGAAAGUUUUCGGCUCAACCGGAAAAUUGCCAUUGAAACUGAUAAACUUGAGUGUAAACGAGGUAGGCGGAAUUCGUGGUGUAGCGGUGAAAUGCUUAGAUAUCACGAAGAACUCCAAUUGCNAAGGCAGCUUACUAGGCUACAACUGANGCUGAAGCACGAAAGCGUGGGGAUCAACAGGAUUAGAUACCCUGGUAGUCCACGCAGUAAACGAUGAUAACUAGCNGUUUG
Molecule: ribosomal RNA, 805 nt
Filed under: uncultured prokaryote
Description: bacterial SSU rRNA
Rfam family: Bacterial small subunit ribosomal RNA
Source: RNAcentral